This 399-nucleotide ribosomal RNA is filed under the name uncultured bacterium. RNAcentral describes it as "partial 16S ribosomal RNA". It matches the Rfam family "Bacterial small subunit ribosomal RNA", at positions 360 to 776 of the family's 1533-position model. The record is from RNAcentral.
AAUCUUUGACAAUGGGCGCAAGCCUGAUCCAGCCAGGCCGCGUGAGUGAUGAAGGCCCUAGGGCUGCAAAGCUCUUUCACCGGCAAAGAUAAUGACGGAAACCGGAGAAGAAGCCCCGGCUAACUUCGUGCCAGCAGCCGCGGUAAUACGAAGGGGGCUAGCGUUGUCCGGAAUUACUGGGCGUAAAGCGCACGUAGGCGGUCAUUUAAGUCAGGGGUGAAAUCCCGGGGCUCAACCCCGGAACUACCUUUGAUACUGGAUGUCUGGAGUAUGGAAGAGGUGAGUGGAAUUCCGAGUGUAGAGGUGAAAUUCGUAGAUAUUCGGAGGAACACCAGUGGCGAAGGCGGCUCACUGGUCCAUUACUGACGCUGAGGUGCGAAAGCGUGGGGAGCAAACAGG